Molecule: ribosomal RNA, 433 nt
Filed under: uncultured bacterium
Lineage: Bacteria
Description: partial 16S ribosomal RNA
Rfam family: Bacterial small subunit ribosomal RNA
Source: RNAcentral
AGCGAACGCUGGCGGCAGGCCUAACACAUGCAAGUCGAACGGAUCCUUCGGGAUUAGUGGCGGACGGGUGAGUAACACGUGGGAACGUGCCCGUUGGUUCGGAACAACUCAGGGAAACUUGAGCUAAUACCGGAUGUGCCCUUCGGGGGAAAGAUUUAUCGCCAUUGGAGCGGCCCGCGUCUGAUUAGCUAGUUGGUGAGGUAACGGCCCACCAAGGCGACGAUCAGUAGCUGGUCUGAGAGGAUGAUCAGCCACACUGGGACUGAGACACGGCCCAGACUCCUACGGGAGGCAGCAGUGGGGAAUCUUGCGCAAUGGGCGAAAGCCUGACGCAGCCAUGCCGCGUGAAUGAUGAAGGUCUUAGGAUUGUAAAAUUCUUUCAGCGGGGACGAUAAUGACGGUACCCGCAGAAGAAGCUCCGGCUAACUUCGUG